CUACGGGGCGCAGCAGGCGCGAAAACUUUACAAUGCGAGAAAUCGUGAUAAGGGAACCCCGAGUGCCCGUAAAUUCGGGCUGUCCGCCAGUGUAAAUAACUGGUGAAGAAAGGGCCGGGCAAGACCGGUGCCAGCCGCCGCGGUAAUACCGGCGGCUCGAGUGGUGGCCACUAUUACUGGGCUUAAAGCGUCCGUAGCUGGAUUGUUAAGUCUCUUGGGAAAUCCACCGGCUCAACCGAUGGGCGUUCAGGAGAAACUGGCAAUCUAGGGACCGGGAGAGGUGAGAGGUACUCCAGGGGUAGGAGUGAAAUCCUGUAAUCCUUGGGGGACCACCUGUGGCGAAGGCGUCUCACUAGAACGGCUCCGACAGUGAGGGACGAAAGCUGGGGGAGCAAACCGGAUUAGAUACCCGGGUAGUCCCAGCUGUAAACGAUGCGCGUUAGGUGUAUCGGUGACCACGAGUCAUCGAGGUGCCGAAGGGAAACCGUGAAACGUG
This 496-nucleotide ribosomal RNA is filed under the name uncultured archaeon. RNAcentral describes it as "bacterial SSU rRNA". It matches the Rfam family "Archaeal small subunit ribosomal RNA", at positions 323 to 823 of the family's 1478-position model. The record is from RNAcentral.